RNAcentral lists this ribosomal RNA (265 nucleotides) under uncultured bacterium. Its description in RNAcentral is "partial 16S ribosomal RNA". It matches the Rfam family "Bacterial small subunit ribosomal RNA", at positions 793 to 1055 of the family's 1533-position model. The record is from RNAcentral.
GUCCACGCCGUAAACGAUGUCGACUAGCCGUUGGGGUCCUUGAGACUUUAGUGGCGCAGCUAACGCAUUAAGUCGACCGCCUGGGGAGUACGGCCGCAAUGUUAAAAACUCAAAAUGAAUUGACGGGGGCCCGCACAAGCGGUGGAGCAUGUGGUUUAAUUCGAAGCAACGCGAAGAACCUUACCUGGCCUUGACAUGCUGAGAACUUUCUAGAGAUAGAUUGGUGCCUUCGGGAACUCAGACACAGGUGCUGCAUGGCUGUCGU